AGAGUUUGAUCCUGGCUCAGGACGAACGCUGGCGGCGUGCCUAAUACAUGCAAGUCGAGCGGAGUUGUUCCUUCGGGGACAGCUUAGCGGCGGACGGGUGAGUAACACGUAGGCAACCUGCCCGUAAGACCGGGAUAACUCACGGAAACGUGUGCUAAUACCGGAUGAUCGGCUUCUCCGCAUGGAGGAGCUGUGAAAGA
RNAcentral lists this ribosomal RNA (200 nucleotides) under uncultured bacterium. RNAcentral describes it as "partial 16S ribosomal RNA". It matches the Rfam family "Bacterial small subunit ribosomal RNA", at positions 8 to 208 of the family's 1533-position model. The record is from RNAcentral.